RNAcentral lists this non-coding RNA (166 nucleotides) under bovine gut metagenome. RNAcentral describes it as "Lysine riboswitch". It matches the Rfam family "Lysine riboswitch aptamer". From Rfam's summary of the family: Riboswitches are metabolite binding domains within certain messenger RNAs that serve as precision sensors for their corresponding targets. Allosteric rearrangement of mRNA structure is mediated by ligand binding, and this results in modulation of gene expression. The record is from RNAcentral.
AAUAGAGGCGCGGCGAUCAAAAGUACGCCCCGGGAGCCGGCAAACGGCGAAGAACGGCGCGGAAAGGGAAAGCCGCCGAAACGGGCCCCCUGCAAGGGCACCGUUGGGCGAAGGGAGAAGAUUCCUUCGACUGUCACGGCGAAAACCGCCGUGGGGCGCUAUUCGA